UACAGAGGUCCCGAGCGUUUGUUCGGAUUCACUGGGCGUAAAGGGUGCGUAGGUGGCUUGGAAAGUUUGAUGUGAAAGCUCAGGGCUUAACCCUGAAAUGGCAUUGAAUACUGCUGAGCUGGAGGUUUGGAGGGGGGACUGGAAUUCUUGGUGUAGCAGUGAAAUGCGUAGAUAUCAAGAGGAACACCAGUGGCGAAGGCGAGUCCCUGGACAACACCUGACACUGAGGCACGAAAGCUAGGGGAGCAAACAGG
This 254-nucleotide ribosomal RNA is filed under the name uncultured bacterium. RNAcentral's name for it is "partial 16S ribosomal RNA". It matches the Rfam family "Bacterial small subunit ribosomal RNA", at positions 524 to 776 of the family's 1533-position model. The record is from RNAcentral.